AUGGAGAGCGGCAGCGGCGCCAUGCACAACAUGACCGACGAGGAGCUGCUCUGGAGGGCGUCCAUGGUGCCGAGGAUCAAGAGCACGCCGAAGCACAGGAUCGUGCCCAAGGUGGCCUUCCUGUUCCUGGUGAGGGGGGACGUGCCGCUGCGUCCCCUGUGGGACAAGUUCUUCGAUGGCCACGAGGGGCUCUACUCCAUCUACGUGCACACCAGCCCCGACUACACCGGCUCGCCGCCGCCCGACUCCCCCUUCUACGGCCGUAUCAUCCCGAGCCAGAGAACGAGCUGGGGGAACAUCAACCUGAUGGACGCGGAGCGGCGGCUGCUGGGGAACGCGCUGCUGGACGUCGCCAACGCGCGGUUCGCGCUGCUGUCGGAGUCGUGCAUCCCCAUCCUGGGCUUCCCCGCCCUGUACGCCUACCUCACCGGAUCCAACACCAGCUUCGUCGACAGCUUCGACCGCCGGGACGGGCGCGCGCGGCACCGGGAAUUCUUCGCCGAGCGCAACAUCAGCCUAGCGCAAUGGCGCAAGGGCGCGCAGUGGUUCGAGAUGGACCGCGCGCUCGCGCUCGAGGUCGUCUCCGACGAGACCUACUACGGCCCGGUGUUCCGGAACGGCAAGCACGGCGUCCGCAACCUGGAGGAGCACUAUCCCAUGACGCUGGCGAGCCUGCUGGGCUGGGGCCGCCGCAACGCCAACCGGACCGUCACCUACGCCGACUGGCGGCACCCGGUGGGACAGCACCCAAAGAGCCACAACGGCAGCGAGAUCACCGAGGAGCUCUUCGAGGAGAUGAGGCGGGGCUACGGCGACUGCUACUACAACGGCGGGGUGGCCGAGGUGUGCGCCGUGUUCGCACGCAAGUUCAAGCCGGAGGCGCUCGAUGCCCUGCUCGAGCUGGCCCCCAAGUUGUUUGCCUCUGGGAACUGA
RNAcentral lists this ribosomal RNA (933 nucleotides) under Triticum aestivum (bread wheat). Its description in RNAcentral is "partial small subunit ribosomal RNA". The record is from RNAcentral. Lineage: Eukaryota; Viridiplantae; Streptophyta; Magnoliopsida; Poales; Poaceae.